AGCGAGUCGCGGCACUCGUAAAGUGUUC
Molecule: small RNA, 28 nt
Filed under: Bombyx mori (domestic silkworm)
Lineage: Eukaryota; Metazoa; Arthropoda; Insecta; Lepidoptera; Bombycidae
Description: ovarian small RNA-12111
Source: RNAcentral